GUGGAGGUUUGUUAAAGGAAGACCUGGGUUAAGCCGUGCCUCCAUCAAUCUCAAGAUAUGGGACCUCAGGGAAGGGAGGGGAGGUACCGCCAAGGACGUGUGCACCUGAGCUGUCACCUCAGUUCUUCAUCUGUAAGCCAGAUGCCAAGUCAGCCUGGGAGAGAAGCGUCUCUCAGCCAGGAUCCCUGACAAAGAUACACCUGCUCCAUGAGGAAGUCUUAGGUGCUUUAUGCUCAGCCUUCACCACAAAA
This is a long non-coding RNA of Neomonachus schauinslandi (Hawaiian monk seal), 251 nucleotides long. RefSeq lists it as uncharacterized. Lineage: Eukaryota; Metazoa; Chordata; Mammalia; Carnivora; Phocidae. The transcript is spliced from 3 exons. The record is from RefSeq and is a predicted model, not a curated record.